AUAAAUUAAAACUUUCAACAACGGAUCUCUUGGCUCUGGCAUCGAUGAAGAACGCAGCGAAAUGCGAUAAGUAAUGUGAAUUGCAGAAUCCAGUGAAUCAUCGAAUCUUUGAACGCACAUUGCGCCCGCCAGCAUUCUGGCGGGCAUGCCUGUUCGAGCG
RNAcentral lists this ribosomal RNA (160 nucleotides) under Beauveria bassiana. RNAcentral's name for it is "5.8S ribosomal RNA". It matches the Rfam family "5.8S ribosomal RNA". From Rfam's summary of the family: 5.8S ribosomal RNA (5.8S rRNA) is a component of the large subunit of the eukaryotic ribosome. Lineage: Eukaryota; Fungi; Ascomycota; Sordariomycetes; Hypocreales; Cordycipitaceae. The record is from RNAcentral.